RNAcentral lists this long non-coding RNA (1109 nucleotides) under Anser cygnoides (Swan goose). Its description in RNAcentral is "lncRNA (ENSACDG00005019115.1)". The record is from RNAcentral. Lineage: Eukaryota; Metazoa; Chordata; Aves; Anseriformes; Anatidae.
AUGGGUGUCCCCCAAAGCAACCUGACAAGGAGGCAUUUUGGGGCCUGGUUUUGGCAGAGGGAGCCACGCACCCUAUGUACUUUGACACCAGGUGAGGAAGCAGCAGCAGAAGCAGCAGUGCUACCCCCAGGUGUCCUGCAGCUCUCAGGGCUUCCAGCUCACAGUUGCAGGCGAUAUUGGCAGGAGAACAAAUGGGUAUAAAAUGACCACAAAUGCAUUUAACCUGGAAAUGAAUAGGAAGCUUCUAAUAAUCGCAGCCGUAAUGUUCCCACAACAUUCCCGCAGGACCAGUGCCAAAUACAUUUGAGGUAAUUAGUUUAUUAAAAUGAUCGGAAAAUAAGGUUGCUAUGAUACUGGGGGCAGGAGCUUCACGAUGUGGGAACCUCUGCAACGUCUCUGCAAAGUGGGAUACACAGGCUUUCUAGGCUCUGUGUUUUACAGGGCAGUCAAAAUUGUCCCCCCUUUGUUUCAGAAUGGCAAAAAUGGUUUGGCAUUCCUUGGUUUCUUUUUCUUUUUUUUUUGGUGAAAUUAAUUUUUUUCUGUCAUUUCUCCUUGGAUAGAAAUUUUGAAAACUUACGUGCUUUAUGAAUCAAACAAAAAACAAAUUUAACAGAAGUGACAGCAGUUCUAUGGAACAGAAAUUCUAACAUUUAAUUCAUUUUAGCUGUAACCACAAAUUAAGAAAGAUUGUGGUAUUGCAGUUCUUUCUCUGCGUUGAGUGUAACUUGCUGACAAAGCAGUACUUUGACUUGUUCCUAUGUAUCUAAUUGAUACUUCUCUGCUCUAGUGAUUAAAACAUACUGCUAUAUAUUAAAAAUGUAUAAAUUAGGGUCGGUUUCUUUUUUUUGCUCACAGAACUUGUGAAUCUUCUAUGGUGCCUCAGCAAGCCUGGAGAAGAACUUGCUUGAAAUGGAUGCAGUGAAAAGGACUUUUUGAAGGAUGUCAUUUGCAAGGGUUUAUCGAAGUUUUCUUUGAUUUUACUGCCUGAAAGUACAUCUCAUUCAGAUGAGAAUGAAAUUAAACCUGAAAAAAAAAUGGAAUUUUGUGUUGAACUGAUUCUGGGAAACUAUGAAUUUUAUUGCUAAUAAAAAAUAAAGAUAUAAAUAGCA